GAGUUUGAUCUUGGCUCAGAACGAACGCUGGCGGCAUGCCUAACACAUGCAAGUCGAACGCGACCUGGUUUUUCGGACUAGGUUGAGUGGCGGACGGGUGAGUAACGCGUGGGAACCUGCCCAUGGGUCUGGGAUAACUGCGGGAAACUGCGGCUAAUACCGGAUGAGUCCUGAGGGAGAAAGAUUUAUCGCCGAUGGGAGGGGCCCGCGUCGGAUUAGGUAGUUGGUGGGGUAACGCCUACCAAGCCAUCGAUCCGUAGCUGGUCUGAGAGGAUGAUCAGCCACACU
This 288-nucleotide ribosomal RNA is filed under the name uncultured Alphaproteobacteria bacterium. Its description in RNAcentral is "partial 16S ribosomal RNA". It matches the Rfam family "Bacterial small subunit ribosomal RNA", at positions 9 to 314 of the family's 1533-position model. The record is from RNAcentral. Lineage: Bacteria; Pseudomonadati; Pseudomonadota; Alphaproteobacteria.